This 199-nucleotide ribosomal RNA is filed under the name Cyclophora tenuis. Its description in RNAcentral is "partial Eukaryotic large subunit ribosomal RNA". It matches the Rfam family "Eukaryotic large subunit ribosomal RNA", at positions 1722 to 1920 of the family's 3401-position model. Lineage: Eukaryota; Bacillariophyta; Fragilariophyceae; Cyclophorales; Cyclophoraceae. The record is from RNAcentral.
GAAAUCUGUUUAGCAGGAGAAAAGGUUUACCGGUUGGUAGAGCAUAGUACUUUUUGCUAUGUCUGGUGCAUUCACAACGAUCCUUGAAAAUCCAAGGGAAAGAAUAAUUUUCUCGCCUAGUCGUACUCAUAACCGCAGCAGGUCUCCAAGGUGAACAGCCUCUAGUUGAUAGAACAAUGUAGAUAAGGGAAGUCGGCAA